UGGGGGAUAUUGCACAAUGGGCGAAAGCCUGAUGCAGCGACGCCGCGUGGGGGAUGAAGGCUUUCGGGUUGUAAACCUCUUUCGCUAUCGAACAAGGCCCGCUUAGGGUGGGUUGAGGGUAGGUGGAGAAGAAGCGCCGGCUAACUACGUGCCAGCAGCCGCGGUCAUACGUAGGGCGCGAGCGUUGUCCGGAAUUAUUGGGCGUAAAGGGCUUGUAGGCGGCUUGUUGCGCCUGCUGUGAAAACGCGGGGCUUAACUUCGCGCGUGCAGUGGGUACGGGCAGGCUUGAGUGUGGUAGGGGUGACUGGAAUUCCAGGUGUAGCGGUGGAAUGCGCAGAUAUCUGGAGGAACACCGAUGGCGAAGGCAGGUCACUGGGCCAUUACUGACGCUGAGGAGCGAAAGCAUGGGUAGCGAACAGG
RNAcentral lists this ribosomal RNA (420 nucleotides) under bacterium. RNAcentral's name for it is "partial 16S ribosomal RNA". It matches the Rfam family "Bacterial small subunit ribosomal RNA", at positions 355 to 776 of the family's 1533-position model. The record is from RNAcentral.